CGUAGGGGGCGAGCGUUGUCCGGAAUUAUUGGGCGUAAAGGGCGUGUAGGCGGCCUGUUAAGUCAGGGGUGAAAACCCGGGGCUCAACCCCGGGGUUGCCUCUGAAACUGAUGGGCUUGAGUGCUCUAGAGGGCAGUGGAAUUCCCGGUGUAGCAGUGAAAUGCGUAGAGAUCGGGAGGAACACCAGUGGCGAAGGCGGCUGCCUGGGGAGUAACUGACGCUGAGGCGCGAAAGCUAGGGGAGCGAACAGGAUUAGAUACCCUGGUAGUCCUAGCCGUAAACGGUGAGUGCUAUGUGUGAGGGGUAUCGACCCCCCUCGUGCAGGAGUUAACGCAAUAAGCACUCCGCCUGGGGAGUACGGCCGCAAGGUUG
This 372-nucleotide ribosomal RNA is filed under the name uncultured organism. RNAcentral describes it as "bacterial SSU rRNA". It matches the Rfam family "Bacterial small subunit ribosomal RNA", at positions 526 to 896 of the family's 1533-position model. The record is from RNAcentral.